This 240-nucleotide ribosomal RNA is filed under the name Triticum aestivum (bread wheat). Its description in RNAcentral is "partial small subunit ribosomal RNA". It matches the Rfam family "Eukaryotic large subunit ribosomal RNA", at positions 1859 to 2095 of the family's 3401-position model. Lineage: Eukaryota; Viridiplantae; Streptophyta; Magnoliopsida; Poales; Poaceae. The record is from RNAcentral.
UCAGGUCUCCAAGGUGAACAACCUCUGGCCAAUGGAACAAUGUAGGCAAGGGAAGUCGGCAAAACAGAUCCGUAACUUCGGGAAAAGGAUUGGCUUUGAGGAUUGGGCUUGGGGGUCCCGGCCCCGAACCCGUCGGCAGUCGGCGGAUUGCUCGAGCUGCUCACGCGGCGAGAGCGGGUCGCCGCGUGCCGGCCGGGGGACGGACCGGGAAUCGUCCCUUCGGGGGCUUUCCCCGAGCAU